AACAGGAUUAGAUACCCUGGUAGUCCACGCUGUAAACGAUGUCGAUUUGGAGGUUGUGCCCUUGAGGCGUGGCUUCCGGAGCUAACGCGUUAAAUCGACCGCCUGGGGAGUACGGCCGCAAGGUUAAAACUCAAAUGAAUUGACGGGGGCCCGCACAAGCGGUGGAGCAUGUGGUUUAAUUCGAUGCAACGCGAAGAACCUUACCUACUCUUGACAUCCAGAGAACUUUCCAGAGAUGGAUUGGUGCCUUCGGGAACUCUGAGACAGGUGCUGCAUGGCUGUCGUCAGCUCGUGUUGUGAAAUGUUGGGUUAAGUCCCGCAACGAGCGCAACCCUUAUCCUUUGUUGCCAGCGGUUCGGCCGGGAACUCAAAGGAGACUGCCAGUGAUAAACUGGAGGAAGGUGGGGAUGACGUCAAGUCAUCAUGGCCCUUACGAGUAGGGCUACACACGUGCUACAAUGGCGUAUACAAAGAGAAGCGACCUCGCGAGAGCAAGCGGACCUCAUAAAGUACGUCGUAGUCCGGAUUGGAGUCUGCAACUCGACUCCAUGAAGUCGGAAUCGCUAGUAAUCGUAGAUCAGAAUGCUACGGUGAAUACGUUCCCGGGCCUUGUACACACCGCCCGUCACACCAUGGGAGUGGGUUGCAAAAGAAGUAGGUAGCUUAACCUUCGGGAGGGCGCUUACCACUUUGUGAUUCAUGACUGGGGUGAAGUCGUAACAAGGUAACC
This 730-nucleotide ribosomal RNA is filed under the name uncultured bacterium. RNAcentral describes it as "bacterial SSU rRNA". It matches the Rfam family "Bacterial small subunit ribosomal RNA", at positions 771 to 1501 of the family's 1533-position model. RNAcentral also lists the same sequence under 1 other name. The record is from RNAcentral.